This 562-nucleotide ribosomal RNA is filed under the name uncultured bacterium. RNAcentral describes it as "bacterial SSU rRNA". It matches the Rfam family "Bacterial small subunit ribosomal RNA", at positions 272 to 826 of the family's 1533-position model. The record is from RNAcentral.
GGCGAUGAUGCAUAGCCGAGUUGAGAGACUGAUCGGCCACAAUGGAACUGAGACACGGUCCAUACUCCUACGGGAGGCAGCAGUAGGGAAUCUUCCACAAUGGGCGCAAGCCUGAUGGAGCAACACCGCGUGAGUGAAGAAGGGUUUCGGCUCGUAAAGCUCUGUUGUUGGAGAAGAACGUGCGUGAGAGUAACUGUUCACGCAGUGACGGUAUCCAACCAGAAAGUCACGGCUAACUACGUGCCAGCAGCCGCGGUAAUACGUAGGUGGCAAGCGUUAUCCGGAUUUAUUGGGCGUAAAGCGAGCGCAGGCGGUUGCUUAGGUCUGGUGUGAAAGCCUUCGGCUUAACCGAAGAAGUGCAUCGGAAACCGGGCGACUUGAGUGCAGAAGAGGACAGUGGAACUCCAUGUGUAGCGGUGGAAUGCGUAGAUAUAUGGAAGAACACCAGUGGCGAAGGCGGCUGUCUGGUCUGCAACUGACGCUGAGGCUCGAAAGCAUGGGUAGCGAACAGGAUUAGAUACCCUGGUAGUCCAUGCCGUAAACGAUGAGUGCUAGGUGUUGG